UUUUCAGUUCUUCUGACCUCUUUAAUUUCCCCUUGUCUUCGGUUCCUGUUCUUUCUCUAUUAUCUUCUCUGCUCUUCUUUUCUUUUUUUUUUAAUUUAAUUUUUUUUCGUUACUUCUGAACUUUUUACUUCUUGUUUUACUUCUGCUUCCUCUCCAUCCCCACCCCUGCCCCACUUCCCUGGACGACAAGGUCAUCCCAGUUAUCCCUGAUAUCCUGAUCCUGGUCUUCCAUUGGUUCUGCCCAGCAUCGAUGCUGCCCCCACCUUCUGCACCUUCUCUUCCAUGAAGAACAUGUCCACAUUGGUCCUAGGAGAGUCCCACCUGCUACUGCUGCUGCCUGCCAUCUGCAGCCAAGUGUGACUGUGUGUGAAGCGACCUUUAGGUUAGCUGAGGUGAGUCACUGAAUUUGCUCCCCUUUGGUGGCUUGGUGUCCACUGUGGCUUUGAUUGACAUUUCCCAAAUGACUAAUGAUGCUGAGCAGUUCUUCAUGUGCUUGUUUAUCAUCAUUUAAAAUUGCAUAUCCCUUUUAAUUUUGUUUUCAUACUUUUAUUUUUAAUUGACAAAUAAUAAUUAUAUGUAUUUCUGAGGUAUGAUGUGAUAUUUUGAUACAUGUAUGUAUUGUGGAAUGAUAAAAUCAGACCAGGCAGCAUAUCUAUUACUUCAAAUACUUAUCAUUUUCUUGUUUUUUUUUUUUUUUUGUGUGUGUGUGUACCGGGGUUUGAACUCAGGGACACUCAACCACUGAGCCACAUCUCCAGCCCUAUUUUGUAUUUAGAGAUAGGGUCUCACUGAGCUGCUUAGCACCUUGCUGUUGCUGAGGCUUGCUUUGAAUUUGCAAUCCUCCUGCCUCAGUCUCCUGAGCUGCUAGGUCAUUUCUUUGUGAUGAGAACAUUUAAAAAUGUUUCUUUGGCCAAUGGGGUGGUGCAUGCCUAUAAUCUCAGUGACUGGAGAGGUUGAGGCAAGAGGAUUCAAGUUCAAAGCCAGCCUCAGCAACUUAGCAAGACCCUGUCUCAAAAUAAAAAAUAAAAAUGGCUGAAAAUGUGGCUUAGUUAAGAACCCGUGGGUUCAAUUCCUGGUAUAAAAACAAAACAAGCAAAAAAAAAUUUUUUCUUUUUAGCUACUUUGAAAUGUAUGUUAAUUAUAGUCACUUUACUGUGACUUCUUCCUCCUACAGAAGUGUGAUUUUUUUUUAUCCAUUGACCAAGUGCUCCCCUUUUCCUGUCUAUCCCCCAUCCCCUACUAACUCCUGGGGACCACCAUUGUACUCUCUACUUCUAUAACUUUUGAAGAUUGUAUUUAUAAGUGAGAUCAUGUAAUAUUUGUCUCUUUGUACCUGACUUAUUUCACUUCUACGUUAUAUCAUCUUCUAUGUUCAGUCAAUUUGUUGAAAAUGACAGAAUUUAUAUAUUCAUUGUGUAUAUGUUCAUUGUGUAUAUAGACCAUGUUUUAAAAAAUGAUUCAUCCAUUGUUGGGCAUCACAGUUGUUUUUGUAUCUUAGGGAUUGAGAAUAAUGCUGCAACAAGCAUGGGAAUAUAGGCAUCUUCUGGGCAUCCUGACUUCAGUUCGGGUACGUACCCAGUCGUGGAACUGUCGGAUCAUAUGGUAAUUCUAUUUUUAGGUUUUUGAGGAUCCUCCAUGCUAUUUUCCACAACGGCUAUACUAGUGUACAAUACUACCAACAGGGUCCUUUCUCUGCACAUUCUCACCAACACUCACAAUCUUUUAUCUAUUUUUACAUGUGUUGGGGGGGGGAGAGAGAGAGAGAGAGAGAGGGAGAAAGAAAGAAAGAAAGAAAGAAAGAAAGAAAGAAAGAAAGAUUAUUAGACCUGGAGGCUCAUAUAUGAUUUUCUUUUUUAAAUUUAUUGUAAUUUUAACAUAUUAAUUGUAUGAAUCGAUUGGAUUCGCUGUGAUAUUUCCAUUCUUGCAUAUAUAAUGCAUUUUAUACAUCCUCCUUACUCUUCUCUCUUUCCUUUUUCCCCUCUCCCCAAUUCCCUCCCCACUAGUUCCUCUUCUACUUUCAGGUCAUCUUUUUUUUUCUUUAAGUUUAUACAUAUGAGAAAAAGCAUACUAUACUUGUCUUUCUGUGUCUAGCUUAUUUUGCGUAACAUAUCUUCCAGUGCCAUCCAUUUUCCUCCAAAUGAUAGGAUUUCAUUCAUCUUUAUGAUUGAGUGAUAUUCCAUUUUAAAAAAUCCAUUCAUCCAUUGAUGGGCAUCUAGGCUGAUUUCAUAUCUUGGCUAUUGUGACUAGUUCCACAGUAAACAUGGAUAUGCAGGUAUAUCAUUUGUGUGCUGACUUUACUUCCUUCAGAUAUAAAUCCAGGAGUGGGAUAGCUGGAUCAUAUGGCAGUUCUAUUUUUAUUUUUUUGCGGAACCUUUAUACUAUUUUCCUAGUGGCUGUACAAAUUUACAUUUAUACCAACAGUGUGUAAGGGUUCCUUUUCCUCCACAUCCUUGCCAUCAUCUUUUCUUUCUUUCUUUCUCUUUCUUUCUUUCUUUCUUUCUCUUUCUUUCUUUCUUUCUUUCUUUCUUUCUUUCUUUCUUUCUCUCUCUCUCUUUCUUUCUUUACUGGGGACUGAACUCAGGGACACUUUACUACUGAGCUACAUCUCCAGCCCUUUUAACUUUUUAAUUUUGAGACAGUACCUUGCUAAAUCAUUGAAGCUGGCCUUGAGCUUGUAAUCCUCCUGCCUCAGCCUCCUGAGUUGCUGAAAUCACAGGCAUGUGUCACCACACCUGGCUAUUUUUUUAAUGAUAGGCAUCCUAAUUGGAGUGAGAUGGAAUCUCAUUGUAGUUUUUAUGUGCGUUUCUCAGAUGGCUGUAGAUGUUGAGCAUUUUUAAAUAUAUUUAUUGACCAUUUUAUUUCUUGUUUGAGAAGUGUCUAUUCAUAUCAUUCACCCAUUUUAACAUUGGAUUGAUUGUGUAUGUUCAAUUUUUUGAGUUCUUUAUACAUUCUGGAUAUGAAUCCUCUGUUGGGUAGACAACUGGCAGAGAUUAUCUUCCAUUCUGUCAGUUACCUGUCCUCUCUGUUCAUUAUUUCUUUUGCUGUGCAGAAGUUUUUUAGUUUGAUGUAAUUCAUUUGUCAAUUCUUGCUUUUGGCAUCCUACUAGGAAAUCGUUGCCUGUGCCAAUAUCUUAAAUGUUUCCCCAGUGUUUUCUUCUAGUAGUUUCAGAGUUCCAGGUCUUACAUUAAAGUCUUUGAUCCAUUUUGAUUUAAUUUUUGUACAAGGUGAGACAGACAUAGGGUCAAGUUUCAAUUUUCUACAUGGUUAAAUCCAGAUUUCCCAGCAAUAUUUGUUGAAGAGGCUGUCCUUUUUCUAUUUCUGACAACUUUGUUUAAAUCAAUUGACUUAAAAUGUGUGCAUUUAUUUCUGAGUCCUCUAUUCUGUUCCAUUGGUCCAUGAGUCUGUUUUUCUGCCAAAAUAUGCUGGUUUUGUUACUAUGGCUCUAUAGUGUGUGUUGAAACCAGGUAUUGUGAUGCCGCCAGCAUUGCUCUUUUGCUCAAGAUUGCUUUGUCAUUUGGUUUUUUAAAUUUUUUAUUUGUUGUUGUUUCCCUGUGACUUUUAGGAUUUUUUUCAUAGUUUUGUGAAAAAAAAAAUGUCACUGGGUUUUUUGUUUGUUUGUUUUGUGGAACUGGAGGUUGAACACUUUCACUAAGUUACCUCCUCAGCUGUUUUAUUUCUUUAUUUUGAAACAGAGUCUCACUAAAUUACCCAGGCUGGUCUCAAACUUGCAGUCCUCUUGCCUUAGCCUUUCCAAUCAUUGGAAUCAUAGAUGUGCGUUAGCAUGACCAGCUGUCAUUCCUAUCUGGAUGGGACUGCAUUGACUGUAGAUUGCUUUGGGUAGUAUGGACAUUUUAACAAGAUUAGUUCUCCUAAUCCAUGAACAUGGAAGGCCUUUCCACCUUUUUGGUUCUUCUUCAAUUUAUUUCUUUAGUGUUUUGUAAUUUUCAUUGUAGAGGACUUUCACAUCCUUAGUUGGUUUUUUUUUCCUAGGUAUUUGUGUGUCUGUGUGGCUAUUGUGAAUGGGAUUACUUUCUUGAUUUUUUUUUUCUCAGUGAGUUCAUUAUUGGUGUACAGAAAAGCUACUGAUUUUGUAGGUUGAUUUUAUAUGCUUUUACUUUACUGAAUCUAUCAGUUCUAGUAGUCUUUUUAAAUUAUUUUAUUUGUUUUAAUUAGUUAUACAUGACAGUAGAAUGCAUUUAUGCACUUUGAAAUAUCAUACAUAGAUGGGAUAUAAUUGCUCGUUUUUCUGAGUGUACAUGUUGCAGAAUCAUUUUGGUCAUGUAGUCACAUAUAUACAUACAGUAAUCAUGUCUAUUUCAUUCUAUUAUCUUUCCUAUCCCCACAUCCCCUCCCCUCCCAUCACAUCCCUCUACCUAAUCUAAGGUAACACUAUUCUUCCCUAGUGCACCCCUGCCUUAUUGUGAAUUCGACCUUUGGUUUUGUGGGAUUGGCUUAUUUUGUUUAGCAUGAUAUUCUCCAACUCCAACCAUUUAUUGGCAAAUGCCAUAAUUUUACUCUUCUUUAAAGCUGAGUAAUAUUCCAUUGAGUAUAUACACCACAUUUUCUUUAUCUAUUCAUCUAUUGAGGGUAUCUUUAGGUUUUUCAAUAUAGAUUCAUAUACAGGGAUGAUUUGGCUUCCUUCUUGCCAGUUUGCCUUUUAAUUUAUUCAUUUGCAUGAUUGGCUCAAAUUUCUUGAAAAAGAGUGAUAAGAGUGGACACUCUUAUCUUGUUUCUGAUUUUACAGGAAAUGCUUUCAAUUUUCCUCAUUCAGUGUGGUGUUGACUCUGAGUUUAUCAUGUGUGAUCCUUCUGUACCUAGUUUAUUUGGGGCUUUUAUCAAGAAGGUAUGUUGAAUUUUAUCAAUUUUUUUCUGGAUUUAUUGAAUUGAUCAUGGGAUUUUCCCCCUUGAUUCUGUUUAUGUGCUGUAUUACUUUUAUUGAUUUGUGUAUUUUGAACCCUACUUGCAUUUCUGGAAUUAAUCCAACUUGAUCCUGGUAUAUGGUCUUCUGAUUUGCUGUUGAAUUCAAUUUGCUAGUAUUUUGAUGAGGAUUUUUAUUUCUUUGUUCAUCAGGGAUAUUGGCCAUUAGUUUUCUUUUUUAUUGUGGCUCUUUCAGGUUUUGGUAGCAGGGUAAGGCAGACUUUGUGGAAUGAUUUGGGGGAGUUUCCUUUCCUUGCAAUUUUAUAGAAUAAUGUGAUAAACAUUGGUGCUAGUUCUUUAUAAGUCUGGUGAAAUUCAACAGUGAAGUCACCUGGUCCUGGACUUUUCUUUGUUGGGAGACUUUUUUUUAUUGCUGAUUAAUUUCAUUAUUAAUUAUUGGUCUAUUUAGUUUUUUUAUAUCCUCUUACUUCAAUUUUGGUUGGUCAUAUGUGUCUAGAAAUUGGUUCAUUUCUUCCAGAUUUUUAAAUGUAUUAGCAUAUUUAGAAAUUUUCCUAAUGAUCUUUGCAUUCUGUGGUAUUAAUUGCAAUGUGUCCUUUUUCAUCUUUAACUUUAUUUGGGUCUUCUCUUUCUUUUCUUCAAUUUAUAUAAAGAUUUGUCAAUUUUGUUCAUCUCUUCAAGAACCAAUUGUUUCACUGGUCCUUUGUAUUGUUCUUUUAGUCUCUUAUUUCAUUUAUUUCUACUCUGAUCUUUAUUCUUUCCUUCUACUGAUUUGGGGUUUGGUUUUUCUUGUUAGUUUCUAAGAACUUGAAAUGUAUUAUUUAUUUGAGAUCUGUAUCUUUUCUUCUUUUUUUUUAUGUAGGCACUUAUUGCUAGGAAACUCUUUCUUAGCACGGCUUUUGCUGUAUCCUACAGAUUUUAAUACGUUGUGAUUCCAUUGUCAUUAUGAUUCAGGAUUUUUCUUUUUUGGCAGUACUGAGCCCAUGGCCUCUCACAGGCUAGGUAAAUGAUCAACCACUGAUCUACAUCCUCAACCUGUUUUACUGUAUUUUGAGACAGGGUCUUACUAAGUUGCCCAGGCUGGCCUUGAAUUUGAGAUCCUCCUUCUUCAUCCUUCUUUGUAUCUGGGAUUACAGGCAUGCACCAACAUGUCCAGCUAAUUCAAGGAAUUUAAAAAUUUCCCUUCUGACUUCUUCAAUGACCCACUGUUUGUUCAGAAGUAUGUUGUUCAAUCUUCAUGUGUUUGUAUAAUUUCUACAGUUUCUUUUGCUGUUGAUUUUCAGUUUCAUUCCAUUGUGAUCAGAAAAGAUGCAGAAUAUCAUCUCUGUUUUAAAUUUUUUAAGACUUACUUUGUAGCCUAAUAUAUGUCUAUUCUAGGAAAUAUUGCAUGCCGAUGAAAAAAGUGUGUAUUCUGCAUCUGUUAGGUGAAAUAUUCUGUAAAUGUCUGGUGAGUCCAUUUGCCUAUGGUGUAACUUAACUCAUAGUUCUUUGUUGAUUUCUUUGUCUGGAUGAUAUAUCUGUUCAGGAGCGUGGUAUUGAUAUCAUCCACUAUUAUUGUAUUGGGGCCUAUGUCUCACUUUAUGUCUAGUAGUGUUUGUUUUAUAUAUUGGGUGCUCUGAUAAAUAAAUCAGUAUAUAAAUUUAUAAUUGUUAUAUCUCUUGAUGGAUUGUUUCCUUGAUCAAUACAUAGUGACAACCUUUAUUUCUUCUAAUCUUGUCCAAAAGUCUGUUUUGUUGUAUAUAAGUAUUGCUACUUCUGCUUGCUUUGGGAUUUCAUUUGCUUGGAAUAUGAUUUUCCAUCCUUUUCUUUUCAGUCUGUGUGUGUCUUUACAGGUGAGGUAAGUUUCUUGUAGGCAGCAUAUUGUUGAGUCUUAUUUUUAAACUUACUCAGUGUCAUUUAAUGGGAUAAUUAAGACCACUUACAAUCAGAGUUAUUAACAAAACAUAUGGGAUUAUUGCUUCAUUUGUUGUUUUUCUUUUUUUAAAUAUUCUUUGUUUCCUCCUCUCUUAUUCAUAUCUGAAGUUUGAUAUUUUACUGUAUUGAUAAUGUUUGAUUUUUUUUAUUUCUCCUUUGUGUAUCUGCUUUUCUUUGGGGAUUUAUUCUUUCACAUGCUCUCAUAAUGGUAAUUAUCUCUCUUCCUCCUGGUGUCUCUUAAACAACUUUUGUAAUGCCUUCUACUGAUCAUGAACUCCCUUAAUUUGUGUUUGUCUUGGAUGCUCUUUAUUUUUUCUUUGAUUCUGUAGAAUAGCCUUGCUGGGUAUAGUAAUCUUAGCAGUUAUUUUCUUUCAGGGCAUCAUUCCAUGCCCUCCUGGCCUUUAAGGUUUAUGCUGAGAAAUCUGAUUUUUGUCUUAAAGUCUAUUUUUUUGUAUAUAAGUAUAGAUACUUCUGCUUUCUUUAGGAAAGAAAGAAAUAUGAUUUUUCCUUGCUUGAAAUAUGAUUUUUCCAUUCUUUUACUUUCAGACUGUAUAUGUUUUUACAGAUGAGGUGGUUCUGCCCUUAAAUGGGACUUGUCUCUUCUCUCUUAUAGAUAUUAAUAUUCUUUCUUUGUCCUGUACUUUUGGCAAUUUAACUAAGUUGUAUUAUGGAGAGGCUCUUUUCUGGUCAUGUCUCUUUGGGGUUCUAACUGCCUCCUGCGCCUGGAUAUCCAUAUCUUUCCUGAGAUAUGGACCUUUUCUGCUAUUAUUUCAUUUGAACAGGUUUUCUAUACUCUGAACCUGUAGUUCUUCUUCUUUAGGUAUACUAAUGAGCUAGAUGUUUGAUCAUUUAAUAGUGUUCCAGAGAUCUUUUGCAUUAUUUUCAUUCUUUCUUAUUUUUUUAAAUUUCUGUAUAAAUACAGUAUUUUGAACAAUUUAUCUUCAAGCUAUGAUAGUCUUUCUUCUACUCCAGCUAGUCUGUUGUUGAGGCUUUCAAUUGAGUUAUUUUUUUUUACACUUAGUGAGCUUUUUCAUUUCCAAGAUUUCUAUUUGAUUCUUUAUCAAAAUCUCUAUCUCUUUACUGAACUUUUCAUUUCUAUCUUGCAGUAUGUUUCUUAUUUCAUUAAACAGUGUGUGUUUCAGUCAGCAUUUGAGUCAUUGUGAUCAAAAGAUCUGACAAAAACAAGUUAGAGGAGGAAAAGUUUAUUUUGGUUCACAGUUUCAGGGGUUCAGUUCAUGGCUGGCUAAUUCUAUAGUUCUGGGCCUAGAUAAAGCAGAUUAGCAAAAGGGAAGAAGGAAAGCAGUUUAGGACAUGGCCACCAGGAAGCAGAGAGUUAGUUCUGCUCACCAGGGAAAAAAUAUAAACCCCAAAGCCCCUAGUGACCUACUUCCUCCAGCCACACCCUACCUGACUAUAGUCACUGCCCACUUAAUCCAUACCAGUUAAUUAAUCCAUUGAUUAGGUUAUACAUUUCAUGAUCUAAUCAUUUCACCUCUGAACAUUCUUGCAGUGUCUCACACAUGAGCUUUUGGGGGACACCUUAUAUUGAAGCCAUACAAUUUGUAUUCUCUUAUAAUUCAUUGUGUUUUUUUUAAAAAAUAAUUCUUUUCUAUUCUUUAUUUGGCAUUUCAUCCAUUUUGAUAUCUUUGAUAUUUAAGAGUUAUAAACUUUAGGAGGCAUCGUAUUUAUUUGUUCUUAAUCUUUCUUGGGUUUCUCUGUUGACAUUUGAGCAUCUGUUGGGAUGGAAAGCUCUUCCACUCUAAGGUGAUGGCUUACUUGGUAUGCAGCUUUUUCCUGAUGAUAUAUCUUGGGGGUACUACUGUUCUGAAAUGUUGAGUUUAUUUCAAACUGGAUGCCUGAGUGUGAACUCCCCAUAGCUUCUUUGAUUGUGAUUCAUGGGUUUGGGCACAGAUUGUACCAAAUUUUAAUUGGGGAAAUCUACUGUUUCUGCAGGUCUUACAAGAGUAGGGACAAUCUGGUAUUUAGGUAGGUGUGGUGGGGAUAGUAGCUGAGUAUGUGAGGUUUACCCUUUGUGGUUGCUUCUAUUAUAAGAAUGGUAGCCCCUAUCAGGUGAUGGGGCUUUUCAUGGGCAUGGUUUAUACUGGCUCUGUUACUUUCAAGCAGCAGUUUUAUUUUUAGCUUUUUUGCAGUGCUGGGGUUUGAACGCAGGGUGUCACACAUGUUAGGCAAGCACUCUGCCCCUGAGCCACAGCCACGGCCCACUUGAAAGCAAUUCUGAUUAUGGUAGCUCCAGUUGUGGUGAAAGGCUUGAUGUUCUUAUCCUCUGAUCGGACACUGGUGCAGGUUGAGGUGCUUCAUAGGAAGAAGUAGGGGCCAGAACCACAGCUCCCCUUCUGUGGUACUCUCCUCUAGAUUUGUGCGCAAUGUGAAAUCUGACAAGAUGCUGCUACAACCAAUGUAGAGAACCCACACAGGAGCCAUGUCAGCAACCAUUGUAGUUUUCCUCUCUGCUGCUACUGUGGGGAUGUUUGCCCAGGAAUGGGGCCUCAGAUCCCCCUAACUGUGCUCACCUGGGGAUUGAUGGACAUCUGAGAGGUGUACCAGGUGUACCCUAUUUCUUAAUAGAAGUAUCUGUCAGGGUUUAAAUAGGACUGGGUUGUGGCUGGAGUGGGCACAAUUCCUCUCAGGGGGCUGGAGGUGUAGCUUAGUGGCAGAGCACCCAGCCAAUGUGUGCAAAACCGUGGGUUUGAUACCCAAUGGUGAAGAAAGAAGAAAAGUAAAAAAAGAUUUCAAAAUAAAGAAAAAAAAAGUGUUGAGUCGGGUGCAGUGUCAUAUAUCUGUAAUACCAGCACAGGAGCAAUGCUCUGACUCAGGUGAUUGCAGGUUGGAGGCUAGCCUCAGUAAUGUAGCCAGACCCUGUGCCAAAGUGAAAAAUGAAAGGACUGGUGAUAUAGCUCAGUGGUAGAGCACCUCUGGGUUCAAUCCUGUAUCAUAGAUAAACAAAUAAAUAAAAAAUGAUAAACAGAUUUUAAUAAUGAAUGAGAACAAAAAAGAAAAAGGUAAAAGAUAAAAAGAAAAAAUUAAAUAAAACUAAAAAUAAAAAGAUAAAAAUGGGAAAAAUGGAAAGUAAUAGAAUCAAAAAUACACAAAUAAAAAUAGAAAGUAAAAAUGAAGAAAACAAAAAAAUUUUAAAAAGAAAAAAUAAUAAAAAUUUUAAGAAAAAGAAAAAUUAAAAAUAGAAUUAAAAAUUUAAAAAUAAUAAACUACAUAAAAUGACUCUUCCUAGCCGAGGUGCUCAGAACUCAAGUGAGUGCAGAAGAUCCUGGACUUUAACAAUCUAAGCUUAUCUCCAAGUCUUCUUUGGCUGUGCACCCCCAGGCAGGGAGCAGGGAGGCAGGCAGGAGUUUUUCCAUCCACCUCCACGUCCCACCCCCACCCCCACCCCACUGUUCUUCCAUCUGUGAUACCCCCCAGGCAUCAGUCAGGAGUGAGUUGUGGCUAUAUUAAUUGAAAUACUGUUCAGCUGCAUUUCCAGCCUGAAUAAGCAGUCAGAUCCAGCCACAUUCUCUCUGGACCCUCCCCUCCCCUCCCCUUCUCUCCCCUCCCCUUUUCUCUUUUCUGUUUCCCUUCUAACCCAGGGCCUCAUGCAUAGUAGGCAAGCACUCAAUCACUGAGCUGCAUCCCCACCAUUUUUUAUUUGAGACUGGUUCUCACUAAGUCACUGAGGAUGACCUUGAAUUUGCAAUCCUCCUACCUCAGCCUCCGUAAUUGCAGGGAUUACAGGCGUGUGCCACUGUGCCUGGCUUCUCUGGAGCUUCUUAAGCUGUACACUAUAGUGUGGGGUGAAGGCCACAGCAGGAGAGGAUCCUUGAAUGUCUCUGAAAAUUGGUCGCCAUUGACCACAAAGACCUGUGCUGGGAGCCUGUGUUGGGAACCACGGGAUCUUUAUCCUGGAUCCUGACCUUAGCAGACCUGGGCCCCUUAUAAAACCACAUGAACUGCUCUUCUCUGGGUCUCAGAGGGAAAGCUCAUCAAUCUGCAGAUUCCAAAUGUCAGUGUCUUCUGCUCCCCUUCAUGUUGUGGUCCAUGAUUCUUGUAACACAGAACUCCCAGUGGGCCUGUGUCAAUCACUCACCGAGCCAGGACUGCCUUGAGGCCACUGUUCAGGCCACGGAGCAGACUUGUUAGGUAGGAAUUCAGGGACACCAAGAUGGUGGGGACAGGAUAUUAAAAAGAAGCUGCUAGAAGACAAGGAGACAGUCCUGUCCCUGUUUACAAUAAAUCCCAUUACUAUGACAACUCCCACCACUGACGACUUAUCACCAUGACAACUCCCGCCACAGGUUCAAAUUUUAAAAAGACCAUGGAAGUAAAGUAGGUAGUAUUCUAAUUAGGUUUUCUAAAGUAACCAGUGGGGGUGGGGAUUGGAAAAUAUUCUAAUCGGGUAUCAUAAGAUAACAAAUGGGAGAAAAUGGGUAAGGUCUUUAAUUGGGUUUGUAUAGGAAAGAGAAAGCCCCACAGUUCAGGAUGUGAGACCUUAAUUUCUAGACAUUGGGGCCUUGAGCCUGCCGCCCCCUCCCCACCCUCAGCCCACUUCCUUCUUCCUAUUUGCACCUUCAAUAAAUCAGUUCUCUGUUACUUCUGUGUGUCUUACUCAAUUCUUUGUUCGGGACACCAAGGACCUGGGCUUCGACUGGACAUCCCAAUGGUAACAGAGUCUUCAUAGAUCCCAGAGAUGGACAUAUGCCAAGGUUUCUGACCUCCAGAGCAGUACAGACUCUGAUAAUGGGGACUCUUCUCUGGAUGGCUCCCAGCUACAGCACUCUGAGGGAAUGCUGGGAGAUGCUGCGGAUUUCUUCUCCUAGUUUAGACUUUGAUGCAGAUUCCAAGUCUCUCACUUAUUUAGGCUGUGUCUGUAAUGGGCAAGCAUCUGAGCCAAUGCCAAGACUCUCUCUGUCUUUCAUCAUAUUUACCUCCUCUCCCUGGUGCCAGAUGACAAGUGCUUGGCACUUUAUUUCUCUGGCUGUGCUAAUAUGCGUCUGAAAUAUUUCCAGGUCAUCUUCUCUUUGCUUUUGAAUUCCAGUGUACAUCCACAGCCACUCAUCUCCACAUACAGCUACAUACCUGUUGCUUUGUUUCAAUAUGGUGGGGAAACAGGUGAGCAUUGUGGGCCUCUAUUCCACCAACUUGCUCCACUGAGAAAUGGAUGCUUGUGAAAUAGAUCUAUACAGGGCUCUAUCUAAGAUUUCUCUCUCUCUCUCUCUCUCUUUUUUUUAGCUGAGAGAAUAGUUCACACAGCAGAAAGCUGUGGGCUUACCUAUUUGCAAUCUGGCUCCAAAGCUUUAUUUAUUUUUGGCACUUUAUUUCUCUGGCUGUGCUAAUAUGCGUCUGAAAUAUUUCCAGAGCAUAAAAUCUGAAAUAUUUCCAGAGCAUAAAAUCAACAGAAGAGUUUGACAUUCUUUGCAAUUCUGGAUCUGGAAGUCCAAGAGGAAGGUGUCAGCAAGACAUUAACAUUCUUCUAAGAGCUUUCUUCUUAUCUUGUAAACAACCAUCUUUCUCCCUGUGUCUUUACAUGGUCUUCUUUCUUUGAAUCUUACAUGGCAUUUUGACACAGGGUAAUAAACUUUGGAGUAUUGACUAGACACUAGCAAUGUUAUUGAACAAGGACUCACUGCCUGCCAUGCAUAGAAGCCAGUGCUAUGGUACUGGGUUUUUGCAAAAAGAAAAGAGGCUUAUUAUUGCAUGUCUAAUUGGCAAGAAGGCCCUUGGUAGGUUGGUGGUGGGGGGAAUUUAUGGAAGGGAGAGGGGAGAAGUUGCUUGUUGACUAGACUGCAUGCCUCUUCCCAGGCCUUGUAUUUCUUUGCAGGGGUAGGGGUUAGGUUAUGUUCUGUGCAGGGAAUGUUGAGCUUAUGACAUCAUUGACUGAUGACCUGGCUUCUUUUGCUCAUAUCAGAUCUUGAAAAGCCAGUUCGUGAAAGGCCGGGAGGCUUUUCCUGGACAAACAACUUAAGGAAUUUAUGUACAGGUGUGUCUAGGCCUUAACCAAUUUCAAGAGGAGGGCUGCCUCUUAUUGUCUUCAGCCCCAAAUAAUCCGUAACCCAGAGUGGUGUAAAUUUAGGUGUUAUGUUCUGAUCCCUUUCAUUUAUACAUUCCGUACUUCCUUCUUUUUCCUCCUCCUCAUAUUUGCCUCUGUUUGAACCAAGUAUUGAGUAAGGGAGAGCAAUAAAUGGCUAACCGUUUAUUUAACCAGUUGGUUCUUUCUAUUUUCUCAUUCCCAUAAUUAAUUUCUAGUUUUAUUACAUUCUGAUUAGAAAAUGGCAUUUCUAUUUCUUCCAGAAUUUAUUGAAGUAUUUUUUAUGACCUAAUUACUUUAGGGUCAAUUAAUUUUGAAAAAUUUCUAUACAUGAAAAUAAACUUUUAGUUUUCCAAUUAUAAAUUUGAUAUAUGUAAAGCAACUCUAUUUUAAAAAUUAUGCUAUUUAGGUUUGCCUUAGGACCAUGGCCUAAAAAGGUGGUAGAUUAAUCUCCCCUACUAUUGUGUUUCUAUUUCUCUUUGUAUUUCACAUAGUUUUUGUUUGUUAAUAUAUGUUGUUGCAUAGACAUUAACAAGAUAUUCGGAUUAUUUUUGUGAAUUUCACAGUCAUAUAAUUAAAGAACCCUUGUCUCAUUUAAUGACUUUUGGCCAGAAUUCACCUGUCUAGUAUUUUUGUAUUUUUUGGUCCUAGGGAUUGAACCCAGGGGUGUCCUGUCACUGAGUUACACCCUUUUUUAGUUUUUUAUUUGAGACAGGUCUCACUAAGUUGCCAAGGCUUGACCUCAAACUUGUGAUGCUUUUGCCUCAGCCUCCUGAGUGGCUUGGAUUACAGGUAUGAACCACCACACCCAAAUUUCAACCUUUCUUAACCAUUUGGAUUUAUCAUUAGAUUUUACUUUGUGAUAUGAGACUUGGCAGAUUUAGAAGAUGAUUGUGACCUACUAUUUGAUAUGACAGUUAUGUUUUGGUUCAUUGCCUUUGUUUUAUUAUUGUUUUUGACUUUUUAGUGAUGAUUUGAAAGGUUUGUGUUUUUGUUCUAGUUGCCUUCAUGGCAAAACAUUUAAAACUGCUAAAAAAAACGUUUUUCAGUAGGGUACAAUGGCACAUGCCUGUAACCUCAAUGACUCUGGAUGCUGAGGCAGGAUCACAAGUUUGAGGCCACCCUCAGAAACUUAAUGAGACCCUAUCAUAACACACACACACACACACACACACACACACACACAUAUAUAUAUAUAUAUAUAUAUAUAUAUAUAUAUAAUGUAGCUCAGUGGUAAAGUGCCCCUGGGUUCAAUCCCUAGCAUACACGCACACACACACACACGCAUACACAAACACACAAACACGGAUAUAUAUUCAUAUAUAUCCCCCACUCCCCAAAAUUGUAAAGAUAGGACUCUAAUACAAGAAUGAAUGUGUGUUAAAGAUUUUAUUUUGCUCCUUAAACAAAAAGGAAACCAGACUGGAAUUAUAACUGGUUGAAAGAAAAAAAACAAAACAAAGGAACACAAAUAUGACCGGAAUAAACGGAUUGAAUACAAAUAAGGCAAACUGUUUUUCUGCAAGGGGAAAAGAAGUCAAAGGAGACUCUAACAGAUACUACCUUUCUAUCAGUUACCUUCAGUUUACAAAGAGUUUCAAAAUAGUCCAAAGACAAUGAACAGGGCCAGAAUCGAAUUGGUUGGAGGACUGUUUUAUAGACAAUGUGUAUUUUUUCAUGCAAGUACAGAAUUUCUUUCUAUAGUCUUUUUUUUCUUUCCUUCCUUCUCUCUUCCUCUCUCUCUUUCUUUUUUGUGGUAAUGAGGAUUGAACCCAGGGCCUCACACAUACUAGGGAAAUGCUCUACUGUUGAGCUACAUCCAAGCCUCUUCUUUCUAUAGGGUUAAUUAAGGAAUAAAUAUUGAUAGCAAUACACUAAUCCUCUAUUUCUUUAGACAUAGCAUACAGUUUUCUCUAUGGGGUGAGUAUCUCAUCUCAAUUUCCCUGGGACUUUCCUAUCUUCAGCCUUGAAAGUCCUGGGAAACCCCUUAAUCCCCAGAGAACCAAGACAAUUGGUCACCCUAAUUUUCUACUAUAAGCAAUGAUGGAAUUAUUACAAUCCCUCCUCUUUCUACUUCCUUUCUAAGAAAGCUCUGUUUUAGCAGUGGUAUGUAACUUUGGGUGAACCUGAAAAAGCUUUUUUAAAAAAAAAUCUCUGAUGUGUGGGGCUCACCCUUAGAGAUUCUAUAUUAUUUGGAUCUAACUAACUUAGAUUGGAUUAGUUAGAUCUAACUAACUAAUGGCUUGAGUAUUCAGGAUUUUUCAAAGUUACUUAGGAACUUUUCUUCCUCCAGUGCUGGGGAUUGAACCCAGGGCCUCCUGCAGGCUAGGCAAGCUCUCUACCAUUGAACUACAUCACCAGCCCAAUGCAGGUGAUUCUUAAGUUAUUGAAGGUUGAGGCUGAACCACCUGCAUAUAUAGACAUUGAACUAUCUUCAAGAUGUGUUGAGUACAGCAUUGUAUGCCAUCACUAUAUAAAAAGUGGAAAAGAAAAUAUUUAUAGAUUUGCUUGUAGGCCCAUAAAUUAUCUCUGGAAGGGCAUAGAAAGAACUGCCAGGAAUGUGAAUUGGUAGUGAAAUGGGAGGGAAAGUUUGUGAAUUCUUCUGACUUUGUCAGUCUAUUAUCUAUUUUUUUUAAAGUUGUUUUAAAAUUCUGUCUCUUCACCCAGCAUGGUGGCCCUCACCUGUAAUCCCAGUUACUUAGGGAGGCUGAGGCAGAAGAAUUGCAAGUUUGAUACCAUUCUCCACAAUCCAGUGAGACCCUGUCUCAAAGAAAGAGAGAAAGAAAGAAAAGAGGUGGGGACAUAGUGCCCUCGGGUUCAAUCUGCAGUACCACAAAAACAAACCACACUACAGAAAAAAAAAUAUUUUUUUCUCUUUAAUCUAGAGAAACAUUUUGCAUCUUUAAAAGUAAGUAGAUAAUUGAAUAGAUAGUAUGAUUAUUUUUAUUUUUUUCAAGCACCCAAACUGCACAUGGUAAAAAAAAAAAAAAAAAGAUGUAACUCUGCAUUGAAAACAUUUUCUAAGGAAGGAAAUUACACACACACACACACGAUCUUCAGUGAUAGAACUCUGGCUUUUAUUUCUUAGUUCCUUUAAAAAAAUAUAAACCAUAUUUAUUUUUUGUACAAUAAAACAAAAUAGGAAGAAACCUAAGAAUCCUGGCUUUGUCUAGAAGCAAGAAUUUGUCUAAUGGUUCUAUUGGAAGAAGUCAGCUUUGACAAGCUGCUGUGGCAGGCUUUGCUCUCUGGCUUCCUUCCUGUGCCAUGUGGGGGUCCUCUCUUUUUGCUCAAGAGGAAGCCCAACCACUGAGACUUCAACAUCAGCCGAGCUGCCUCAUGAGAGGCCUUGUGGGGAGGGCGCUACCCUGGGCACUGGGCACUGCCAGUGGAUGUCACACAACUCUGCUGACUGCUGACCACAUAAUGGAGACCACUGUGCUAGGCUAUGUUGGAGGCAAAAGACCAGCAGACAGGACCCUGGCACGAGGUCCUCCCUGCCCAUGAGGUCCUUCCUGCCCACAAGGUCCUCCCUGUGUGAGGUGACAGCCAGGACAUAUGCAUUGAAUAGGCCUGUCCCUAACAUUGGUAUUGGUGGAUGGAAGCCCACAUAUCACAUCUUUAAAUACUUGAAAGCUAUAAGUCAAGCUAAUAAACUGUUGACUAAAAUAUUAUCUAUUUUCCUCCCUUAAUAAAUACAAUUUCAUAAUGACUUGGGAAAUCCAGGUUUGAAUCUAGAACUUUCUCUGAGUACUUGGAGUUCUCUGUUGGUUAUGACUGGCAGGCAGCUUCCAAGAUGAACCCUAGUGAUUUGCAUCUCCUGAUAUUUACACCUAUGUGAUCCCUUCUCUUAAGGGUAGGCAGGAUCCAUGAAUUGCUUCUAAUCAAUGCAUGUGGCAAAGUUAAUAGAAGGUCAUUUUCCUGAUUAGGUUACCUAAGAUAGUAAUUCCUCUUUUCUAGCAGACUCUCUCUCUUCCUGGCUCCCACGAGAAAGUUGCAAUGUUGGAGAUACAUUGGCUUCAGAAGGUUGAAUGUGCACCAGAGGCCGCAGGCUUGGCACACUUGAAGUGUGUUGGGAUCGUGUUGGAUCAGGCCAGAGAGCUGCCUGGGUGCAGUGAGCAAGCAGAGCACACCUGAGGGAAUGUUCAAAGGGAGCUGUGGGUUGAGUGGAACCAACCCACAGGAGGGUUUGAUGCAGCAGUCAGAGCCUUGCCCUGCACUUCCCACAAUGGUGUUCUUUGAUGGGGGUUGAGGAGCUGGUGAAGCGGAGUCAUCAGUUCAGAUCCCGCCUGGAGUGUGCUGGUUCCAUGACUCUAGUCACAUUAUCUAAACUCCCUGUUUUCUUAUCUGUAAAAUCUGGAUUAUUACCUGUCACAUAGGAUUGUGGAAAGGAUCAGUGCAUAAAAAAUGCCUGGUAAAUUCUUAUUAGUUAUUAUUAAGGAAACUGGGGCUCAGGACAGAUGAAAGAUGAUCUUUUGUUCUCCAGUGCUAUUUGCCUUCCCUCAUGGGUCAGAGGGAGAAGUGGGAAAGGGGUCUUUGAGUUGCUAGGAUGCUCAUUUGCUCCUCACACUAUGAAAAUGUUUGGAACAAGGUUGUGACUCAUGCCACCCUUCCUCAAAGUCCCUGAGAGCUGUGGUGGUGCUGCAGGAGGUGUGGGGGUGCUGGCCAAGGGAGACCUGGUGGUGCGUGCUGCGCUAAGAAGGGGAGUGCCACUGGGUUGGCACCUCCAUCUGGGCUUCUGUUGCCUCAUCUGGGAAAUGAAAGGGUUGCCAGUGGCCCUGGGAGUGUGGGUCAGAAGUCACAGCCUCGGCACAGCUAGGGUGCAAACUCUCCGGCCUCCCACACCUCCUGAGUCAGAGCUGUGGGACUGGGCUUUGAGAAUCGCCAUUUCUAACACUCUCCAGGUGGUGUUUUUGCUUGCCCUAGUUGAGCAACAUUAGGAUCGCUGGUCCCAACUAGGGCAACACCACUUUACCAGGCCCCUGUGGGGUUCUGAUGGAGCAAUGUCACCCCCACCCCAUCCAUUGUGUUUAGAAAAUACUGGGCUGGCGAAGGGGGAGCAGAGCCUGCUUUACAACUUGUGGGUCCCAUUGCAAAAUGAAAAUGCAGGGCCCACAUUCAAAAAGCAGGAGAAAAGCAUUUCCUUUCUUCUCUGGUCUCCCUCUUGACCUGUCACGUGUGCUUUAAUUUGCUACUUGAUAUCACUCCUAGUUGAGGCACAGAGAUGUGGGCAAGGUGAAUACAGAACCUUGCAGGCUCUGGCACCUUCCCUGUGUCUGCACCAAGGCCCUGCCCAGGGCCCUGCAUCUCUCAGGGAGACCUUUGAGCUCUGGCUGGAGCAAAAGUGGUUGCUGCAGGAGAAGGCAGUGUGGCUGGCACACACAGGUACUCAGGUGAUUAAUGACUGCAUUUCCCCCGUCUUGGCCUUGGGCUGCACCUGAGCUGUGGUGGAUGCAGCCCUACGUUUUUGUGUAAUCUCUUUUGACAACUGGGGGAAGGGGGACAAACCCACAAGACUAACCCAAUUACAGUGACACAGAGCUCUGGCUGCUCCCUGUUGACAAGGUGAACACAAGGGCAUCCCAAUUCAGGACCAGCACAGAAAGUACUUUCCUACUCCAAUGUCCUGAGAUAUUUUUGCCUUAUGACAAACGGUGGCUGUCACCCUUGGGCUAUGUCAAUUAAGGUAACAUGAAAAGAACUAGAUGGAUUGGGCUCCCAACUAUCCCAUAACUGGGCCUGUGAUACUUCAGCCCUGGAAGAGAUGUGCAGUGUUAGGAGCCCUAAUAACAGAAUCAGAAAGCUGGGGUCUUUGAUUAUUUUGCUAAGGGGACUUGGGUAGAGCACCCAGCCUCCCUGGACAUCAGUAUUCUCUUCUAUAACAUAAGAGUAUCAAAUCACAUUAUCCCUGAGCAACUCUUCUCCCUAUUUAAUACUCCAUGAGGUUAAGGACUUAAAAGCCAAGCCUAGACUGUUAAUUUUGAAGGAAGAGCAGUAAGAACACAGUAAGAACAGAGGGUAUAUAAACGGAAAAGUGGGUUGGGAUUACAUUGUGAAGGCCAAAAUGUCCACUUAGAGUUCAGUGUUCUUUCUAGGCAGCAGGGAACCAUGGAAAACAUCUAAAAGAGAGGGUUUGUGUUCAGAGCUGAACUUUAGAAAGAUGAAGGAAAUCAUGUUUCAGAAAAAUUGAGGGCAGAGUAGGAACCAGUUAAGUGGCUACAUGUACCCCAUUUACCCUUAUUGGGCAGGGCCAGGCUCUCCUCCUAACAGGCUGUUCUGACUCAGCACCCAGCUGCCGGCAGAGAGAUUUCUUGUUUCUCAUGACACUUGACAUUAUCAGACUUCUACAUUUUUGCCAAUCAGAUGGGUAGGAACAGGCAUUUCAUUUUAAUUUUAACUAUAUUUCCCUGGUUAGUAGUGCAGCUAAUUUUUUUUUCUUUUCCAUAAAUUUCCUGUUUAUUCUUUUGUCCAGUUUUCCUUAUUUAUUUAUUUAUUUAGGUGCAGGGAUUGAACCCAGGGUAAGAUAAGUGCUCUACCACUGAGCUACACCCCCAGACCCCCCCCCCCACUUUAAAAAAUUAUCCUAUAUGUUCUGGAUACUCACCUUUUUAAAAAAAAAUUUAAAGUUGUAGAUGGACACAAUACCUUUAUUUCAUUUUAUUUAUUUAUUUUUGGGUACAGGGGAUUGAACUCAGGGGCACUCAACCACUGAGCCACAUCCCCAGGUUAAGGAUUUUAUUUAGAGACAGGGUCUCACUGAGUUGCUUGGUGCCUCACUUUUGCUGAGACUGGCUUUGAACUCUCUAUCCUCCUGCCUCAGCCUCUCUAACUGCUGGGAUUGAUUAUAGGCAUGCGCAACACAUCCAGUGUAUUUAUUUAUUUUUAUGUGGUGCUGAGGAUCUAACCCAAUCAAUGCCUCACAGGUGCUAGGCAAGUGCUCUACCACUAAGCUACAACUCACCUCUUGUGCUUAUAGGCAAUGCAAAUUUUUUUUUCCAGUUUAUACUUUGUCUUUUAACUUUGGUUAUUAUGGUGGCUUUACAAAGGUAAUCACAGACAACCAUAACAUAGUUUAUUAACGUUUAAAUUUGUGGCUUUAUUUUUGGUGUCUGAAAAAAAUCUCUACUCUCAAAUCAUAAAGCUAUUUUUCUAUAUUUUCCAAAAAGUUUUCAUGUUUUCUUCUUACUUUUAAGUUUUAGAUCCACAUUGAAUUUAUUUUUGUGUCUGGCAUAAGGAUCUAGUUUUAUCUUUUUCUACAUGGGCAUCCAAUUGUCCCAGCACUGUAUAUUGAGCUGUUUAUGUCUCAGCUCUGUUGCCCAGGACCAAGACAAGGAUGAGGCAAGCACAGCACCCAUUGGCAGGGUCACGAAAGUUCAUGGUUAACAGCUAAGGGUGGGCACCUUCUUCAAUUUUGCCUCACCCUAUCACAGGACUGCUUUUGUUCUCUCCUUCUGGGAAGGGUCCUCUUGCAACAAACAGUCCCCAACACAUAGGAGACUUGGGUUCUCCUGCCCAGGAAUGUGGGUUCUGGAUGCAGAGAAGGAGGAGUAUAAACCUUGGAAACUCCCACUGGCUAUGGAAGGAGGAAAGAUGGGAUGGUCAGAGUGAAGCCUCUGGGAUUGGAGAGACUGGGACCUUAUGUCUCAGAGAUGCUGUUAGAAGUUUCAUAGUUUUCUGAGGCUCUGGGGGACAGAAGGCUGGUGCACACAGGACCUCUCCCCUCCGUGGUUGUGAGUGGAGUCUGCAGCCUCUGUACUUGUGGGUUCUGUCCCCUGUGUUCCUUGUAGAAUAUGGGAAAUGCUUGGGGGCACCCCAGAAUGUUUCAGCUACUCACAGACAUGGAAUCAGAUAAUAGUAAAAGUAAAGGAAUUUUUCCUUCUAAUUUUCUUUUAAUAGCAUCUAUAACACCGCCCCCACCCCCCCACCCGACACCAACAGUUGCUAACCCCCUCUCUAUUAACCCUUAGGGACUGGCCUCAGGCUUUGGAGCCUUGGAGGGCUCUGGAGUCUUUCUAGAUAUUUAAUCACCUUGUUUUUUCAUUGUGUUUUAGGGUGUUACCUAUCAUUCUGGUGACUGAGUUUGAUAUUAAUGAUGCUAAUAGAGCAUUUACUUUUGAAUUUAUUUGAACAAAAAAGUUUGCCUUGUGUACAUAAAAAUCAUAUUGUAUGUGCAUUUGGAUAAAGAGAUAGAAAUCGAGAGUCACCAAUGUGUUCGUGGUAAUAGGAUUUCAGAUGAUUUUUGUCUUCCUUAUAUUUUUAAGUUGCUUGCCCUUUUUACAACAAGCAUAUAUUAGUUAUAUAACCAGAAAAUAACUGUUUUUGCUCUGGAGAAAGAUAUACAUGUUUAAAGGAACUUAUUAAGUGAAUAAUACAAGGAUAUAUUUAUCAGCAAGUUGACUGAGGUUAGGAACUUGAACUCAGAAUGGUGGCUUAGCCAACUCUGAGGAAGGGGCCUGAGCAGAAGACAGGGAGAGGUUGUGGGGAGCAGGGAGGGGCCAGGUGAACCCCAACUGACAUCAGGGAAGCCUGAGGAAGCCUGGCUUCCUGUCAUAGGAAGUUCUGGCAGCCACCACCCAGAGGCUGGGCUUUGUUUUUUCAAUGUUAUGCAGAGGAUUCUAUUUCAGAGUCUCAGCUGUGACUUUUUAAUCAAGUAACCUAUUAUUUGGUGAGCUCAGGGCUGAGUUUCUGUAGUGCGUUCACCUUUAUUUGCACUUAGACAUCCCAGGUUGGGUGGAGAAGAGGGAACUGGGGGUGUAGCUCAGUGGUAGAACAUAUUUGCCUAGUAUGUGCAAGGCCUUGGGUUUAGUCCCCAACACUGCAAAAAAACAAAGCAAGAGGGAACCUUGCCAGGGUCUAGAUGUCUCUGGUUUGGAAGCACUGGGUGAAGUCUGUUGCACCCGAGCUGACAGGUGACAGCCCCGCCCCUUGCCCCACUGGGCUGUCCCUUCCAUUCCCAGAGCCCUGGCAGCUGGUUCCAAGCUCAGAGUGCUGACCCCUUCCUUGGGAGGGCAUAAUUUGAUAGGCGCCUGAGUGCAACAAAUUCCUGAUGUGUAGUCUUAGGAAUCCUGGGCUCACUGGACUCUUUUUCAGAUCACACCCCAAGUUACUGUUUAAACUUUAAUGCGGCCAACACAGUCCAAACACAACAGGGAGUAGAAGUUACUUGCUUUCCUUUGGGACUAUCUGGCUUCAUGCUCUGAUUCCUAUUUUGGGUGUUGGAUGUGGGACGUGAUGGGCUGGGUGACAGUAGUCUGAGUAGUCCGAUGGUCAUGAGACAAUGCAGACCCAGUAGCUGCCACUCACGGGCACUGUGAGAGGAUGAGAUAUCUGUGGUCCCUGCCCUCCUGGAGGUGGCAUUGUAUGGAGAAAGCAGCUGUGAAGGGGGGCUUGGUAGAAGGGUGGGGUAGGGGCUGCUGCAGCCCAUAGUAACCAGCUUUAAAGAAAGGGACAGGGAAGGGACCCUGAGUAGGAGACAUUUGACUGAGACAUAAAGAGUUUGCCAGAUGACAAGAGAUCGGGAGGGCAGUCCUGGAGAGGAAUUGUACACAGAAGUCUUGAGGCUGGAGGGGCUAUAUUCAGCUGAGCUGUCCCUCAGGUGGCUAAACAAGAGACUCCAGGGUGGGAAAAUAGGCCAGAUCCUGUAGGACUUCCCAGAACAGGCUUCCUGUCCUCCGGAGACUUUUGGCAAGGUUGUCACAAGUGUGUGUUGGGGGUUUGGGCAGGGGAGGGUGCUUCGGGGAUGCUGCUAAACAUCCUGCAAAGUGCAGAACAGCCCCUGUCAAUAAAGAAUGAUUCCGAUAAAGAAUUCAAUAGGACGGGCCCAGUGUGGUGGCACACGCCUAUAAUCCCAGUGACUCAGGAGGCUGAGGCAAGAGGAUCAUGAGUUCAAAAUCAGCCUCAGCAAAAGCAAGGUGCUAAGCAACUCAGUGAGAACCUGUCUCUAAAUAAAAUACAAAAUAGGGCUGAGGAUAUGGCUCAGUGGUUGAGUGGCCCUGAGUUCAAUCCCUGGUACCACAAAAAAAAAAAAAAAAAAAAAAAAGAGAGAGAGAGAGAGAGAAAGAGAGAGAAUUAAUAGGACAGAGGCUGGGAAACUUUCUAGAGCCACACUAAGGACUUUGUUCCUUAUUCUGAAGCCCAGGGGGAGUCAUGAAGGGGUUUUACCCAGGAGAGCGAUGUGACCAGAUUUAUGUGUUAAAAUUGAUCCAGCUGCUCAGAAGAAAUUUCAAGACCUAACUGUUCGGGUAGUUUUUGAGACCCACCUGCUCUUUCCAGCUGUGGAGUUUCCAGUCUCUGCUGUUAUUCUGGGGUUCGCCUUUUGGCUACUUUCUGGUCAUCUGGGUCUCUAUCAGGCAGGGACACCACCAACUCAGAUAUUUAAGAGUUACACAGGAUAGGGGCUUUUCCCAGAGCCACAAGAGCACCGCACUGGGGCAUACCAAAAUAUUUCAGGCAUCUGUGAUGGGCAGCCAAAUGCCCCACGGAGCUGUUUACAUCCUAAUGCCUCACUCGGCAAAGGGAUUUUUCAAAUGUGAUUAGUUAAGGAUCUUGAGAAGUGAGAAGAUUACCCUGGAUUAUGUUGGUGAACCCACCGCAAUCAAAAGGAUUCUUAUAAAAGGAAGACAGGCAGCGCUGAUCAGGGGAAAUGUGAUGACAGAAACCGGAUAGAGAGACAGAUUUGAAGAUGGUGUGGUGUUGGUUUUGAAGAUGAAGGAGGGGACCAGAACUACAAGAUAAUAAUCUCUUUUGUACCACUAUCUUUUUGAUAAUUUGCUAUAUGUCUACAAGAAAUUAAUACAACCUGGAAAAUUUUUUUUUAAAUUAACUGACAGGAAAACUGAAAACUAGAAACUAACAUGUUAUCUAUUUUUAAAUUUGUUUUUAUCAUAUUUAAUAAAUAUAAAAGGUAUAAGGACAGAUACAAUGCACAACUGGUCAUCAUUUCCAAACUCAAGAAAUAAAGCAUUUCUAAUAUAGCUCAAGCCCCUUGCAAACCCAACUCUGGUUUCAUUUCCCUCUCUGCUUUGUAGAGCUAAUCAAUAUCCUAAUUUUGGUAUUCUUUUUAUUCCCAUGAGUUUUUUUGGAGGGAUAGUACUAGGUUUCUUUUUUUUUUUUUUUUUGAGGAGGUACCCUGGAUUGAACCCAGGGACACUCAAACAUUGAGCCACAUCCCUAGCCCUAUUUUGUAUUAUAUUUAGAUACAGUGUCUCACUGAGUUGCUUAGUGCCUCACUGUUGCUGAGGCUGGCUUUGAACUUGUGAUCCUCCUACCUCAGCCUCCUGUGCCAUUGGAAUUACGGGUGUGCACCACCAUGCCCAGUUUGGGGAGUGAUACUAGGAAUUGAACCCUGGGUGCUGUACCACUGAGCUAUACCCCCAGUGCAUCUCCAUUUUUUUUCCUUAAUUUUUGAGACUGGGCCUUGCUAAAUUGCCCAGGCUCUUGUUGAAUUUGCAAUCUCCCCGCCUCAGCCUCCUGAAUCACUCGGAUUAUAGGCAUGUGCUUCCACACUUGGCUGCCAUACAUUUUUAUGCAUGUAUCCCCAACAAUAUGUCACACAGAUGUUCUUUGACUUACAAUGGGGUGACAUCCCAAUACCAGUUGAAAAUGCUGAAUAUUAUAGCUUAGCCUCACUUACCUUACAUAUGCUCAGAAGGCUUACCUUAGCCUGUAUGGUUGGGCAAAACCAACUAGCACAAAGUCUAUUUGAUAAGAAAUUGUUGAAUAUUUCAUAUCACUUAUUGAAAACUUGUGUCCAAAAAAUGUUAGCAACACAGUUCACCCUCGAGUCUCUGUUGCUCACUCUUGGGAUUGAAUGGCUGACAGGGCACUGUGACUCACAGUCACAGUGAGUUUUGAGGGGGUGUGGUGCCAUUUACCAUCAGCCUGGGGAAAGAUUCAUAUUCAAAAUUCAAAGAUUAGUUUCUACCAAAUGCAUACUGCUUUUGCACCCUUGUAAAGUUAAAAAAAAAUUCUUAGGUUGAGACUGUUUGUACUGCUUUGCAUGCUAUCUUAUAUGUUAGGCUUUUUGUGCCUAAUAUGGUGGAGAUUUUUGGAUUGGAAUUGACCUUAGGGGGCACUUUACCACUGAGCUAGACACCUGGACCUUAUUUUAUUUUUAAUUUUGAGACAGGGUCUCACUAAAUUGCUGAGGCUGGCCUUGAACUUCUGAUCCUGCUGCCUUAGCUUCCCAAAUUGUUGAGAUUAUAGGUGUGAGCCACCGUGGGUAGUGUCUGAUGUUUUGAGACUCAUUCUUUAAAAAAAAAUAUUUAUGUUUUAGUUGUAGUUGGGCACAAUACCUUUAUUUUAUUUAUUUAUUUUUAUGUGGUGCUGAGGAUCGAACCCAAAGCCUCACACAUGCUAGAUGAGUGCUCUACUGGUGAGCCACAACCCCAACCUGAGACUCAUUCUUAUUGAUGCCUGUGGAAUCUGUGUUACCCCAUUGUUAUGAAUAUGUCAUACUUUAUUCUGCCAGUGAACAUUUAGUUUAUUAUCAGUUUGGGGAUAUUACAAAUAAUAUGCCCAUGAGUGGUUUUUGUACCUGUCUCAUGAAUUUCUGCAAGGGUUUCUCUAGGAUUUAUUCCUGGGAGUGGAAUUUCUGAAACCUUGGAUAAACAGCUUCUCUAGAGAGUUCCAAACCACUCUUCAGAGAGGAUGGGUCAAUCUAAAUUCAACUGGUUGAUGCAAAUAACACUAGGUGAUAUUGUUAAACUACUGGAUAUUUGCCAAUAUGAUGGGUAUGAAAAGAAAUUUUGUUAAUAUUAACCUUUAUUUUCUAGAUUACUAGGGUACUGAGCAUCUGAAAAUGCAUUUAUUGAUUAUUUCCAUUCCUUCCUCUGUGAAUCAUAUGGUCAUCUCUUUGCCUCUUUUUAUAUGAACUGGUUGUCUAUUUCUUAACUUCUUCUAGAAGUUCUUUGUGUUAUUCUGGAUACCACUUAUUUGCUGCUAUAAGUGUCAUCAGUGUCUUCUCCUAUUUGUCUUGUUAGGAGUAUGUGGUGUCUUUUGAUGAAGAUUUGAGCCCAGGGCUGCGUUGGGCAGAGAUGCAGUUCUGUGAUCCUCUUGGGAUCAUGUUUCAAGGCUUUGUUGAUGAGAAUAGCUAAGGAGUGUCCCAUAAAGUGAUUUUCAAAGGUAAGGAAAAUCUUCUGGACAUGUUC
RNAcentral lists this long non-coding RNA (25968 nucleotides) under Marmota monax (woodchuck). The record is from RNAcentral. Lineage: Eukaryota; Metazoa; Chordata; Mammalia; Rodentia; Sciuridae.